RNAcentral lists this ribosomal RNA (778 nucleotides) under bacterium W15M36. RNAcentral's name for it is "bacterial SSU rRNA". It matches the Rfam family "Bacterial small subunit ribosomal RNA", at positions 61 to 839 of the family's 1533-position model. The record is from RNAcentral.
GUCGAGGGGUAACAGAGUAGCUUGCUACUGCUGACGACCGGCGCACGGGUGCGUAACGCGUAUAGAAUCUACCUUUAGCUGAGGGAUAGCCCAGAGAAAUUUGGAUUAAUACCUCAUAGUAUGCAGGCUUCACAUGAGGAUUGUAUUAAAGGUUACGGCUAAAGAUGACUAUGCGUCCUAUUAGCUAGAUGGUAAGGUAACGGCUUACCAUGGCAACGAUAGGUAGGGGCCCUGAGAGGGGGAUCCCCCACACUGGUACUGAGACACGGACCAGACUCCUACGGGAGGCAGCAGUGAGGAAUAUUGGACAAUGGAGGCAACUCUGAUCCAGCCAUGCCGCGUGCAGGAUGACUGCCCUAUGGGUUGUAAACUGCUUUUAUACAGGAAGAAACAUCUCUACGUGUAGAGACUUGACGGUACUGUAAGAAUAAGGAUCGGCUAACUCCGUGCCAGCAGCCGCGGUAAUACGGAGGAUCCAAGCGUUAUCCGGAAUCAUUGGGUUUAAAGGGUCCGUAGGUGGAUAAUUAAGUCAGAGGUGAAAGUUUGCAGCUCAACUGUAAAAUUGCCUUUGAUACUGGUUAUCUUGAAUCAUUAUGAAGUAGUUAGAAUAUGUAGUGUAGCGGUGAAAUGCAUAGAUAUUACAUAGAAUACCAAUUGCGAAGGCAGAUUACUAAUAAUGUAUUGACACUGAUGGACGAAAGCGUGGGGAGCGAACAGGAUUAGAUACCCUGGUAGUCCACGCCGUAAACGAUGGAUACUAGCUGUUCGGAACUUGUUU